CAGUAGCCACGGUAAUACGGAGGGGGCUAGCGUUGUUCGGAAUUACUGGGCGUAAAGCGCACGUAGGCGGCUUGGUAAGUUAGAGGUGAAAGCCUGGAGCUCAACUCCAGAAUUGCCUUUAAGACUGCCGAGCUAGCAGGUGAGAGAGGUAAGUGGAAUUCCGAGUGUAGAGGUGAAAUUCGUAGAUAUUCGGAAGAACACCAGUGGCGAAGGCGGCUUACUGGCUCAUACUGGACGCUGAGGUGCGAAAGCGUGGGGAGCAAACAGGAUUAGAUACCCCCGUAGUCCCUGUCUCUUAUAA
This 301-nucleotide ribosomal RNA is filed under the name uncultured bacterium. RNAcentral's name for it is "partial 16S ribosomal RNA". It matches the Rfam family "Bacterial small subunit ribosomal RNA", at positions 509 to 809 of the family's 1533-position model. The record is from RNAcentral.